This 1088-nucleotide small RNA is filed under the name Arabidopsis thaliana (thale cress). Its description in RNAcentral is "ATSL209440". The record is from RNAcentral. Lineage: Eukaryota; Viridiplantae; Streptophyta; Magnoliopsida; Brassicales; Brassicaceae.
UAUUCUCAUAAAUACUUAAUUAAAUCAACCAAUAAAGCAACAAUUAAACCGCAAGUCAAAAAUACUAUUUUAUGAAUAAAUAAAUAAUUCAACCAACAAAACCAAGAAUAACUAACAAUCCUAACACAAUCCUAACCGGUUCCAAUAACCAAAACACUAAAAUAAACAAAUGAGUUCGUAGAUCAUCCUCUCUUCCUUGCUAUGAUUCCACGAUCACACUUUAUCUUUACCUGCACCAAAAAGAAAGAGAUGCGUAAGUAUUAUCAUAAAUACUUAGUGAGGCGAUCCUCCCAUCUACGAGCUAUACACACAAGCAAAUAAAAGGGGUAUAACCACAAACAUAAACAAACCAGUCACUGAACACUUCACCCAAAAACACAUUCACCACAUCUACAUAUCAUCACACAAAACAAAUCAUACAACCCAAUCGCUCAGAUAAGCUCAUGGUCACGCACUCACCUUAACAAAUUGAUUCUAACAACAAUUAAACCCAGGAGAGACUCUCCUUGCGUCUGAAACAGUCCAGAAACGUCCUACAACAAGUCACAACCAAAAGCAACCUUGAAGCAAACUGGACAUGAAAAACAGAAACAAACAGUCUCAAAGACGAAACCCUAAAAUACAAACCAACCGUUAACUAUUAAAUCCCUCCGGUGAAACGUUAGUCUUAGACAUCACAAAGCUUCCCACAAAAACUCGUGCCGAUCGGAAACCAGAUGAGACUACGAUCUCAGUUAAAAUCCUCGCUGGUCCUAAUUCGCGUAUGAGAAAACGUGUCUCACAAAACUUUGACCACGAUUUGAUAUGUCGAAACCGUUUCCUCCCAAACCCUAACGAUUCUGGUUCUUUUCCUUCUCUCUCUUUUUCUCCUUUAUAAAAUGAAAAGUGGCUAACUAAAGCCCUAAUUUUGAGUUUUCUUCUUUUAUAGGCACACUCUAGGGUUUCCAAUUAACCCAACCGAUUAAACCGGACGAUUUAAAUACAAAUCCUAACCGAUUUUCCGGUUCACGGGCUUUACAAUAAUUAUUUAUCGAAUGAACUUUUAAAUAUACUUGAAAUGUUUUAGGUCAACGCCAUAAGAGGAGAGA